UCAGAGUGGAAUAGUGGCAGAGUUGCAGACGACCCCCGCACGGAAGUGCAACAACAAUCAGUCAGUCAGUCAAUCACUCAGUCAGUUCUUCCACAGUGCUGGCAGUGGCAUACCUAAGCAGCGCAUGUGGGACGGCAUCAAUGAUUGCUGCAGUAACGGAGAGGAUGAGUUUGUGCAGCUGUGUGGCAUUGAGGAGUGCCGGGAGAAGAAUGUAGGGUGUGUGUGAGUCUGUUUACAUCAACACUCGAGAGUCAUACUACUGCCAGUGCCGGCCAUGCAGGGUACAGACUCGUGUCAGAAAGUUCAAGUGUGAAGACGUUGACGAGUGCGUGGAGUCGCCCAGAUCU
Molecule: long non-coding RNA, 347 nt
Filed under: Portunus trituberculatus (swimming crab)
Lineage: Eukaryota; Metazoa; Arthropoda; Malacostraca; Decapoda; Portunidae
Description: uncharacterized LOC123502349
Source: RNAcentral